CCUGAACGCUGGCGGCGUGGCUAAGACAUGCAAGUCGCACGGAGGUAGCAAUACCUUAGUGGCGAACGGGUGAGUAAUGAAUCGCUAAUGUGCCCCGGACUCUGGGAUAGCUGCCCGAAAGGGCAGGUAAUACCAGAUGAUAUAACCGAACCGCAUGGUUUGGUUCUCAAAGGUCCGCCGGUCUGGGAGCAGGCGAUUUCGUAUCAGCUAGUUGGUGAGGUAACGGCNCACCAAGGCGACGACGCGUAGCCGGACUGAGAGGUUGGCCGGCCACAUUGGGACUGAGACACUGCCCAGACUCCUACGGGGGGCUGCAGUAACGAAUCUUCCGCAAUGCACGAAAGUGUGACGGAGCGACGCCGCGUGUAGGACGAAGCCCUUC
This 382-nucleotide ribosomal RNA is filed under the name uncultured bacterium. RNAcentral's name for it is "bacterial SSU rRNA". It matches the Rfam family "Bacterial small subunit ribosomal RNA", at positions 30 to 419 of the family's 1533-position model. The record is from RNAcentral.